RNAcentral lists this long non-coding RNA (1506 nucleotides) under Cottoperca gobio. RNAcentral's name for it is "lncRNA (ENSCGOG00000017240.1)". The record is from RNAcentral. Lineage: Eukaryota; Metazoa; Chordata; Actinopteri; Perciformes; Bovichtidae.
AAAACAUCAAUUCAACCUUUUAACCUGCAAAUGUUGUCAGCCUGAGAAUAUUUCUGCAGCACGUUGGGGCAUAAGAAAAGGUUCUGUUUUUUCUGUUUUACUUGUCAAGUCUUUUUUCUUUCCUCAGUUUCUUUAUGGUAAUGACCAUAAUAACAUCAUUUGAUUUGUCAGGCAGAAUAAGUGAGAGUGUGCAAUACAUAUGGAAAGGGUGCUUUGAAUUCUGACUUAAGGAAAAGAAAAUCCCACUGUUUCUUUCCUUCUUUUGCACCCCCACCAACCUGGCAACCUGACACGGCCAAACACAGUGUGAGGUGGCCUUUCGCCGCUAUAGCCACCUCCCACCCACACCUGUCAUGGGGCCAAGUUCCCACAGCUGAUGAAGGGCCACAACACCUUAUUUCCACAAGUGCAGUAAAAGUACAAAGACUUCUUGCUCUGCUACAUAUCAUGAAGGAAGGGUGGUCCCUUGAUCCUGCUGGAAACCCGCUGAAAGAUUGGGUGACUGAGAGAGGGAUCCCAGAGUUGUUGUUGUUUUGUUUUAUUUUUGUUUUUUCUUUCUUCGCAAAUGCCUCUUUUUUCCCCGUUUUGCUUUGGCGUCUGUGGAAGAAGAUUUUUUGCAGAGACCAACUUUUUUGCUGCUGUUUUUUAGACAUGAUGGGGAAAAAAACCUUUAUAGACUCAUUAUGCUCAAAGCAUGCAUACUGACACAGGAUAUAGAUAAACACAAAUAACAAAGCAAACAUACACAUUUAAAGAUGCUACACAUAAAAAAAGAAAAGAAAAGGGAAAAAAAAAAAAAAAAACUACCUUGUACAUGUAUAAAUACGUGCAAAUGCCAACUCAAGUACUGACGCAAACACAUGCGUGUGUGCACACACACAAACACACACACCAGCCUGCUGCCAUUUUGGUUUUUGUGCCUACACAGGUGUUGUGCUCUGUGACAGGGCAAGCUCUGGAUCAAAGAAGAAAACGAGAAGAAGAAAACGAGAAGAAGAGGAAGAGGAGGAGGAAGAAGAAGAAGAAGAAUCCAGGAUAAUUUACAUGCAUCAUUCCUUAGGAAAUAGGGACCAAAGGACUAAACGCUUUUUAAAAGAAUAUAAAUAUAUAAAUAUAUAAAUAUAUAUUUAAAAACUCAUACCUUGUAGCUGCAAGUAUUACAAUUUACUCGUAGUCAAAAAAAUCAUUAAAUCAAUAUCCAGUGGCCUACUGUAAGUACGAAUAAAAGAAAAUGGAAAUAAUGUAAAAAAUAAAAAAAGACAUGGCAUCGUAGUGUAGGGGCUGAUCUUUCGCUCUGGAUGCUGGUUUAGCUCCAGGUUGUAGAAUAGUAAAGUAGAUUAGAAAACAAUGUAGAUUUGCUAACUUUUGCUGUUGUUUAAAAAAAUACUUGAAGUUGUAAUGAAAAGUGGGCAAAAGGAUUGGGUGGGGGGGGUGCGGGUGGGGGGAACAUUCAUCUGCCCCUUGUACGCAACGAGUCUCUUUUUCUUGGAUGUUAAAGGUAUCAGC